This 1054-nucleotide long non-coding RNA is filed under the name Bos indicus x Bos taurus (hybrid cattle). Its description in RNAcentral is "lncRNA (ENSBIXG00000029693.1)". Lineage: Eukaryota; Metazoa; Chordata; Mammalia; Artiodactyla; Bovidae. The record is from RNAcentral.
CCGCAGUUCACAGCCUUGUGACUAGAAACGGUCCCCAAAACAAGAAUCAGACAAACCAGAAAAGCCCAGAUGGUAGUCCUUGAGAUGAAGGAACUAAGCAGCUGGUUGAGAUGGCACCAAGGGGAAAGGUUGCUCUUUUUGUCUGCCACUCUACUCCUUUCUUCCUGGACGCCUUAGGGGUUCGUCAUGGAGAUUUGAAAUAAAGUUCACAAAAGUCAUAUGUGUUGAAUCAAGAUUUUGCAUUUAACCAUCUCUCAAAAAGGAAGAGAGCUUCGCCUGCACAUGUUUCUUUCAAAAACGUCAACUGCUUUUCAUUCUGGGGUUUCUCUCUUGCCUUGUUCAAGUAGCCUUAAGAGUAAAAAUCAACGAAAACUACAUAAAGAUUCAAAGAUACCAACAAAGGACAGCUUCUGUUUCUGAAAUCAUCUUUGCAUUUAGUAGAACACGAGCUCUAUUCUUUGUAUUUUGCCUAGGGAAUUAGCAAUGUCCUGGUUCAGAUGGCAAGGCAUCCGUCUGCGGGAGACUGGGGUUUGAUCCCUGGGUCGGGAAGAUCCCCCCGGAGAAGGAAAUGGCAACCCACUCCAGUAUCCUCGCCUGGGAAAUGCCACGGACAGAGGAGCCUGAUAGGCCGCAGUCCAUGGGUUGUAUCAAAGUUGGGCUCAACCCAGCAACUACGAACAGAAGUAUUUCCAAAGACCACACUCAAGUGUGUGUGCGUGUGUGUGUGUGUGUGUGUGUGUGUGUGUGUGUGUGUAUCUCCUCUCGCCGUCUUGGAGUCUGUCUCGGAAUCUUCAUGUAUUUCUGCCUCUGUAUCUCCUGACAGCCGGCCGCCGGCCCGUUCGUCUGGCCCUGGCCUCUGCCAGGUGCUCUGGCUCUGGCUGAGGAGCUUGCGCAGGCCAGCUGUCUCCCUUGGCAUGGGUGCGUGCCAGUGUCUGUGUGUCUGUCUGUGUGCUUGCCUGUGGCUCAUCUGCUCUCUCAGGAAGGUCGAGUGCUUGGCGGGCGGCGUGGGGGAAAAGGGGGGCCUUGGUAGUGUGAAGGGGCGGGGCUGAGGCAC